CAGGAAGGAUGGGGAAGGGGAGACAUAGGGAGGUGAGAUAUCAGAUACCAGAAUGGAGUUAGACGGGAGGAGUGAGUUGUAAUGUCCUGCAGCCCAGCAGGGUCAUCUGCCUGAAACAGAGGAAGGGAGCCCUCACUUGCAGACUCUCUCCUGACACCCUGGAGAGGAGAGCCUGUCUCCACAAGGUUCAGCACCUACAGGACAGGUGCUCACCCAUGGGACAUGCUGGCAGCCCCCAUGAACAAGGUCACUGCCUGGCCAUAAGCAGGCACCUUCACCCACCUGCCAACCCCAGACUGGCUCAGCAGAUCACAGGGCUCCACCCUGGAACACCUCCAGGGAGCAGGCUUUCUCAGCAAAGUCUGGGCCCCCAUUUCAGAAGGAUAUGGUAAUCUUUGGGACCAUCCAGAGGUUAUGAAAAUCCACUUUGGGUAAUAUAAACUCUUUAAGAAAAAAAAAAUUGGGAGUCUGAAGGAUUCCUAUUAUCCUCCAAAUUUCAAUAUAAGCUCCGUUUUUCCAUAGAGUUGUUCACUUUUAGGAUAGUCUGAGGUCACAGGGAGGAAGCCUGAUGGUUCCUAUCCAGUCAACUGUAAUGUCCACAUAUUGGUUGUGGUCCUUGUGAGAAGCAGCUACAGCAACCCCGACUCCACAAGUUUGGAAGGAAAUCACUCUCCAGUUAACAUCAACCUCAAAGGCUAGGAAUGGCCCCCAAAGACCCCACUUUCCUUUAAUAAACUUCAUGUUUGGAGAUCA
This is a non-coding RNA of Ictidomys tridecemlineatus (thirteen-lined ground squirrel), 753 nucleotides long. The record is from RefSeq and is a predicted model, not a curated record. Lineage: Eukaryota; Metazoa; Chordata; Mammalia; Rodentia; Sciuridae.